UACGGAGGGGGCUAGCGUUGUUCGGAAUUACUGGGCGUAAAGGGCGCGUAGGCGGCGCGAUAAGUUGGGCGUGAAAGGCCCGGGCUCAACCCGGGGACUGCGCUUGAUACUGUCGCGCUGUGAGUCCGGAAGAGGAGUGUGGAAUUCCUGGUGUAGCGGUGAAAUGCGCAGAUAUCAGGAGGAACACCAAUGGCGAAGGCAGCACUCUGGGACGUGACUGACGCUGAGACGCGAAAGCGAGGGGAGCAAACGGG
This 254-nucleotide ribosomal RNA is filed under the name uncultured bacterium. Its description in RNAcentral is "partial 16S ribosomal RNA". It matches the Rfam family "Bacterial small subunit ribosomal RNA", at positions 524 to 776 of the family's 1533-position model. The record is from RNAcentral.